Molecule: ribosomal RNA, 269 nt
Filed under: uncultured bacterium
Lineage: Bacteria
Description: partial 16S ribosomal RNA
Rfam family: Bacterial small subunit ribosomal RNA
Source: RNAcentral
CAUUCGAGUGGCGGACGGGUGAGUAACGCGUGGGUAACCUGCCUUACACACGGGGGAUAACACCUGGAAACAGGUGCUAAUACCGCAUAAGCGCACAGGGCCGCAUGGCCCGGUGUGUAAAAACUCCGGUGGUGUAAGAUGGACCCCGCGUCUGAUUAGCUUGUUGGCGGGGUAGGGGCCCACCAAGGCGACGAUCAGUAGCCGGCCUGAGAGGGUGGACGGCCACAUUGGGACUGAGACACGGCCCAAACUCCUACGGGAGGCAGCAG